This 253-nucleotide ribosomal RNA is filed under the name uncultured bacterium. RNAcentral's name for it is "partial 16S ribosomal RNA". It matches the Rfam family "Bacterial small subunit ribosomal RNA", at positions 524 to 776 of the family's 1533-position model. The record is from RNAcentral.
GACGUAGGGGGCGAGCGUUGUCCGGAUUUAUUGGGCGUAAAGCGUGCGUAGGCGGCUGCGCAAGUCGGUUGUGAAACCCCGGGGCUCAACCCCGGAACUGCAUCCGAUACUGCGUGGCUAGAGGUAGGUAGGGGAGAUCGGAAUUCCUGGUGUAGCGGUGAAAUGCGCAGAUAUCAGGAGGAACACCAGUGGCGAAGGCGGUGCUCUGGGCCGGAACUGACGCUGAGGAGCGAAAGCGUGGGGAGCAAACAGG